Molecule: ribosomal RNA, 483 nt
Filed under: uncultured bacterium
Lineage: Bacteria
Description: partial 16S ribosomal RNA
Rfam family: Bacterial small subunit ribosomal RNA
Source: RNAcentral
GACGAACGCUGGCGGCGUGCUUAACACAUGCAAGUCGAACGCUGAAGCUCAGCUUUUGUUGGGUGGAUGAGUGGCGAACGGGUGAGUAACACGUGAGUAACCUGCCCCCUUCUUUGGGAUAACGCCCGGAAACGGGUGCUAAUACUGGAUAUUCACUGGUCUUCGCAUGGGGGUUGGUGGAAAGGGUUUUUCUGGUGGGGGAUGGGCUCGCGGCCUAUCAGCUUGUUGGUGGGGUGAUGGCCUACCAAGGCUUUGACGGGUAGCCGGCCUGAGAGGGUGACCGGUCACAUUGGGACUGAGAUACGGCCCAGACUCCUACGGGAGGCAGCAGUGGGGAAUAUUGCACAAUGGGCGCAAGCCUGAUGCAGCGACGCCGCGUGAGGGAUGGAGGCCUUCGGGUUGUGAACCUCUUUCGCUCAUGGUCAAGCCGCAACAAUGGUUGUGGUGAGGGUAGUGGGUAAAGAAGCGCCAGCUAACUACGUG